GGUUCCAUAACACCAUCAGCAAGAUUGAAAGGCUGAGACUUAGAAGGCACUCAUUGUCUAUUGGGGUUGCUUGGACACCAUUUAAUAAAAGAUAACUACCAGUCCCUAUCAAACCUAUAAUCAGCAAGCAAAAUGUUCCUUAUCUGUAGGGAAUGGAAGGAUUUCCUCUCUAUUCCUCUGCAGCAAAGCUGCCCUUGAUCAUCACAGAGAACAAGGAAUUGUUGAUCUAUCAAACAAGUCCAACAAAAGUGGAAAAAUAAAUAAAAAUACAAACAAGAGCCUAUCAGUACAGACAGGGACUUCACAAACAGCAAAAGGCUCCACGUUCUGAAGAACAAAAGAGGAAGAGCACCUUCAAGGAAGAACAAGGCCUUUCCUUUGUCUUUCAUUUCUUCAUAGCUCUGUCUCUAGCUUCACAGUGCACACUGCUGGUUUAUUAUAAACCUAUUUCUUGGAAAGACGACACACAGUCACACCUACUAAUGGAAAGAAUGUAUCUGACAGGCAAACACCCAUCUAAGUCUGAGCCCCUUAAAUAUGAUGGCUUCAGUAUCCUUAAAGGUUUGACACACACCCUUCAUGGAAAACCCCCCACAGAGGUUAUUUUUAACUUAAUGAAGUAUGGUAAUAGUAGAGCAACCCAAUUUAGAAGGAAUUGCACCUGACAAGAAAAAGUAACGGCUGUGUCUAUGAAGACAUUAUUCAGUUAUUUCUCAUCUCAUCGGAUAAUAAUCUCAUAUGAAACUUCGAAUCAUGUUAAAACCAAACAUUUCUUCCCAUCAAUCUUAGGAAAAAGCCAAACACUUCCCAUGACUGGUGAAGCUCUGCAGAAGACUGCCCACUUCUCUAACCCCCUCCGGCCUCGUUCUUGCUCCUGUCUUGCUCCCUUCUUGCUCAAAUACACCAUUCUUCUUCCUGCUUGGACUUGUGUGUGCUUUUGCUUCAACUUAGGAUC
Peromyscus maniculatus bairdii (prairie deer mouse) is the source of this 955-nucleotide non-coding RNA. Lineage: Eukaryota; Metazoa; Chordata; Mammalia; Rodentia; Cricetidae. The record is from RefSeq and is a predicted model, not a curated record.